This is a non-coding RNA of Delphinapterus leucas (beluga whale), 4130 nucleotides long. NCBI's taxonomy places the organism in Eukaryota, Metazoa, Chordata, Mammalia, Artiodactyla, Monodontidae. The record is from RefSeq and is a predicted model, not a curated record.
CCCGGACUGGGCCACGAACCUGUGUCCCCUGCAUCGGCAGACGGACUCUCAACCACUGCACCACCAGGGAAGCCCCAUUACCAUUUAUUUUUUGAAAACUUACGGGAUCCUGAAGACAAGGUGUUUAAUUGGAAAAGCAUCGGCAACGCAGCACUAAUUCCAACUCAUGCUGCUCUCCUUGUUGACCACACACCAAAUAAGGGCAGAAAUGGCCUCUUUGAGUUUUUCAGAAUUAUGUUAACAAACAAGAAAAGCAGUGAUGGAAUUACCAGGCUGAGAAACAAAACUACUCCCUCGGGAGAAAGCAAAAAGUCCCCAAAUACCAUGAAUCUCUAAAUAACAACAAUCUCAUGCUUUCAACUUUGGCGAUAGGAAGUUUUUCCAUGACAGUGUUCAAUAUCUCGCUAAAUCUGGAUAUCCAUUUAUUGGAGCCAAUAUUCAUAAACUUUCCCAUUCCUGGGCACUUAUUGACCUGACACCCCCAGGACGCCUUCCUCACCCUGCCACUCCCCGUGCACUGACUGAUUCUGUGAAGUAAACAUCAUCAUAAGGACAUAAUGCAUAUUGCAGGCAUCCUGUCUCUGGAACUGUGUUGUCAAGAAAAAGAGUGCUAUAUUCUCAGUGUUCUACUUGGCCGUGAACUUCCUGGGGCCACAUAACCCUGGGACAGUAGGAGCUAAAUAAAUGACUUCUAAGAGCUUUGGAUAUAAUAAUUGGAAUGAGGCUAUUCUAGAAGGUGGAGAACUUUUGCAGAAAAAUUAAACCAUUCCCCAUGGACAUCAGUUAAUAUCAGAGAAAAAAGGAACUCAAGCAUCAUUUGUCAUUUCUGACAGCAAUGCUGAGUGGCCUAACGAAAACUGCCAUGGUUGUCUUGUUGAAGGGGUCCUUCAUUUGCCUCCCACGCUAUGCGGUAUCCUUCCUACAGCUAUCCACCUCCCUCCACAACCCCUGAACCUGGCUGCCAAGUGCACGCAGAUCAAAAUAGACACGGGGUGAGCAUAUAUGUUGAUCUAGGCAGAGGACCUCGCAGAUGUGAAAUGUGGAAAAGAAUAGAAUAAAAUAGAUUUGGGGAAGAUAUGUCAGCAUUGUUUGAAUUUCCUGCUUCUAUCACCAUGAUCUGGAUUGAUUUGGGAGGAACUCAAACUCUCCAAGUCUCAGUUCUUCAUGAAUAAAAUAGGGACAUUAUCAACUUCCUCGUAAAAUGGUGCUUUCUUGGGAAGAUUAAAGUCAAUAUACAUGAAAGUCAAUAUACAUCCUUCUCUCUUUUAUUGUCUAUAAAUAUAUACACAUAUAUCUGUUUGUGUAUGUGUGCCCACAAUUCAACUAAGUGCUAGUUUAGCCCAGAAACUUGUAGUCUAGUUGGGGAUAAAGCGUGUAUUGUAGAGUGAUCCAAACGACAGUGAAAUCUCACGGUAAAAGAGCUGCAUGGUUAGAUGCCCUAAUCAUGAUUAGAUUGUAAAAGCUGCAUGAUUAGAUGCCCUAUGAUCGAACUGAAAAUAAGAGAACUCACGUAUUCCGUCUGAACCCUCACUGCAUGCCAGUAUUUACAUUCGUCAUAAUAUUCAAGACAGCCCUGAAACUUAGGCUUUGCUAUUCUAAUUACAUAGAGGAAGAAUGCGAGGCUCAGAGAAGGUAGGCAGCUUGGUCAGGAAAACAAAUAGAUCCACUCGGACCCCAAGCCUGGUCUCUUUCCUUGAGGUCAUGCAAUCCUGACUCUGAAACAUGGUGGAGUGCAUGGUGCUUUGUGCAUGUUACCAUGUCAGAAGGAUGAGCUGAAUCUUGAAAAAAGGGUAGAAUUUGGGCAGGUCAAGAGGAGAGAGGGAUACUUCAGGAGAGGGGAUGAUGAACCGAGACGUGGAGAUGGAAACAGAGAAGGCAGAUCUGUGAGACAGCUACAAACCAAUUUCUUUAGAGAUAAAUGAUGUGGCUGAGAAGCCAGAGAUAAGACCAGAAUAGUAGAUUGCGGCUAAUUUUAGAGGCCUUGAAGGCCAGACACAGGAGUGUCAUUCGAUAGCUCAUAAAACAAAUGAGUUUAUUGAGGAACCACUGUGCUGCACUGUGGAAGUAUCAAGACGUAAAAGAAAUAAACAAACAAAGAAAGAACCCAAAAAACAAACCUGGCAACAAAAUAGGCUUUGUCUUUCUAGGGCUACAGGUCCACUUGCCCCAGUACAUGGAAUAAUGCUCUGGGGCUGUGGCAGAAGUCUGAGUGACAGUCAGUGACACAGCAAGGGGGUCAUCAUUUGGGUCCCCUAUCAUGGGCAUAGGAAUUGUUGAGAAAGGCUUCAUAGAGAAGAUGAAUUUAUUCUGGAAGUGAUGGGCAAUGAAGAAAGGAUUCGAACAGUGGAAUUAUAUGAUGAAAAUAUCAUUUUCAGAAGAUUAAUUCAGUAGCAUCCAAUAGGCACAAUACGAUGGUUAGAGACUGGAAACUGAGACUCCAAUUCAUUAAAUAGAAGAUCAGUUCAGCUCUCCAGCAAGAGGAAAGGUAGUGGCAGUGGAAAUGAAAAGGCAGGGAAGCGUGAGUUUUUAUACUGAAAAUCUUGAGGGACUUGACAAUGGCUGACUGAUGAGGGUGAGAUGAGAGAGAGGAGGAUUCAGUGAUGACUCUAAGGUUUUGAGUUUACGUAAAUGGGAAAAUGGCAUUGUCCUGAAGAGGAAUAUGUGAGUCCUAUUCAGGAGAACUGAUUCAAGAAGAAAGGUGAGUUCAGGUUAGCCAGGCUGACACUUGAACAGUAGGAUAUCUAGGCAGUUAGAGAUACAGAUCUGGAGCAAAAAAAGCUUACAUUUUUGCAUUUGGUCCAGCAUCGAUCUGCUUUACAAACCCCAAAGAUACAGAUCUGGAACAAAAAAAGCUUACAUUUUUGCAUUUGGUCCAGCAUCGAUCUGCUUUACAAACCCCAAAGAUGAGACGUUUACUUCUGCCAGAUACUUAGAAUUGAUAAUGUUAUAAAUCAUAAGAGCAAAUACAUGAUAACAAUAAAAACAAUAGUAAUAAUAAAGGCUAAUAUUUGUUGAGAGCUCAUUACAUACCAGGCACUGUGUUAAGUGUUUUAUAUGUAUAAUUGGCAUUAUUUCAUUUAAUUCUCAUAAUAACCAUCAGAUGCAGGUAUUAUUAUUAUCUCCAUUUGAGAGACGAGAAAACUAAGGCACAAAAAGAGAAAUCAACUUUCCUAUGGUAACACUGUAAGUGAGUGGCAGAGCCUGAGCUCAAACCUAGAUAAUCUAAAUAUGGACUGUCCAAUAUGGCAGCCACCAGUCACACAGGGCUAUAGAGACUUAAAAGGGAGCUAGUGUGAUUGAAGAACUAAAUUUAAUUUUUAGUAAUUAAUAUUUAAAUUAUGAAACUGAUAGCUGAUUCAGUUAUUGGAAAUCUGAAACUUGAGUAAAUGAAUCUACAUUUCUUUGUAAAUUUUAUGAAAUCUAAAUUUAGAUCUAGCAAGAUUGAUGGAAAGUUAGCAUCUAAAUCAAUAUAUAAAACACAGACAGGAUUUCAAAGGCCCAGAAUGAGGAAAGGUUUUAAAUAUUUCAUUAAUAAUUUUAUAUAUUGCUUACAAUAAUAAUUAUUGAUUAUAUAUUGAUUAUAAUAUUUUGAAAUUAAUUUUAUCUGUUUCUUUUUAUUUUUUAAAUGUGGUACCAGAACAUUUUAAAGUACAAGUGUGUUUUGCAUAGUAUCUCUAUUGGCUAUUGUAGGUCUAAAUACUGAGAAAUAAAUAAAUGAGAGGUCAACUGCAUGACAAGACAAAUGACAUAGUUAAGGGAACACAGGUUAUUUCUUUUUCCAUUCCAGAUGGCUAUUUUUGACAACAUCUGUAGAGAAUACAGAAAUUGUCUUAAUUCAAUGGGACGCUGAGCCCUGGAUGUGACUGAUUGUUAAUCUCCCCACUCUUUUAUAUUGGUCAACUCUUUCACCAUUUUCAGGGAAAACAACAACCCUAACUACCUUUUCUUGGUAUGUCUUGUAGUUGUUUACCUUUCAAAGGUGAAUUACUUUGCUCACAGCUGUUUUCUAUCUUUCAUCUCAAGCUGUGUCUUCAUGUCAAUCUCAAUCUAGAACUGAUUUAUCAAAGAACCCCAAAGGAGGGCUUCCCUGGUGGCGUAGUGGUUGAGAGUCCGCCUGCCGAUGCAGGGGA